GAUCCAUGUUGAGAAAUAGGAAAGGGGCUGACUCCCCAAAUCUUUGACUGGCAUCCCUGCCACCCCCAGCCGGCUCUCCCCUUGGGCUCCAGUAGUGCAGGGAUGGGUAGAGGGCAGCGAUCCUCAGUUACGACUCAGUGCUGCGUUCCUUGGCCACUCAGGGGAGAUGCCAUGGCUGGCACCCCACAGCUGGUCACAAAAAGAUGGGAUUGUUGGGAAUACUGGACUCUGUGGCUGUGGUCUGACGUUUCAGGCUGAGACC
Bison bison bison is the source of this 262-nucleotide non-coding RNA. Ensembl annotates it as small Cajal body-specific RNA 6. Its record names the gene SCARNA6. NCBI's taxonomy places the organism in Eukaryota, Metazoa, Chordata, Mammalia, Artiodactyla, Bovidae. The record is from Ensembl.